RNAcentral lists this ribosomal RNA (486 nucleotides) under uncultured bacterium. Its description in RNAcentral is "bacterial SSU rRNA". It matches the Rfam family "Bacterial small subunit ribosomal RNA", at positions 28 to 507 of the family's 1533-position model. The record is from RNAcentral.
GAUGAACGCUAGCGGGAGGCUUAACACAUGCAAGUCGAGGGGCAUCACGAGGUAGCAAUACUUUGGUGGCGACCGGCGCACGGGUGAGUAACACGUAUGCAACCUACCCUGUACAGGGGGAUAACCCGGAGAAAUUCGGACUAAUAUCCCAUGCAAUUAUUGGAGGGCAUCCUUUGAUAAUUAAAGCUCAGGCGGUAUAGGAUGGGCAUGCGGAACAUUAGCUAGUUGGUAGGGUAACGGCCUACCAAGGCUACGAUGUUUAGGGGACCUGAGAGGGUUAUCCCCCACACUGGUACUGAGACACGGACCAGACUCCUACGGGAGGCAGCAGUGAGGAAUAUUGGUCAAUGGGCGGAAGCCUGAACCAGCCAUGCCGCGUGCAGGAUGACGGCCCUACGGGUUGUAAACUGCUUUUCCCCGGGGCGAAUAACCCCCUCGCGAGGGGGAGUGCCGGUACCGGGGAAGUAAGGAUCGGCUAACUCCGUG